RNAcentral lists this ribosomal RNA (497 nucleotides) under uncultured bacterium. RNAcentral's name for it is "partial 16S ribosomal RNA". It matches the Rfam family "Bacterial small subunit ribosomal RNA", at positions 28 to 507 of the family's 1533-position model. The record is from RNAcentral.
GAUGAACGCUGGCGGCGUGCCUAAUACAUGCAAGUCGAGCGAACGGACGCGGAGCUUGCUUCUCUGAUGUUAGCGGCGGACGGGUGAGUAACACGUGGAUAACCUACCUAUAAGACUGGGAUAACUUCGGGAAACCGGAGCUAAUACCGGAUAAUAUUUUGAACCGCAUGGUUCAAAAGUGAAAGACGGUCUUGCUGUCACUUCUGGAUGGAUCCGCGCUGCAUUAUCUAGUUGGUAAGGUAACGGCUUACCAAGGCAACGAUGCGUAGCCGACCUGAUAGGGUGAUCGGCCACACUGGAACUGAGACACGGUCCAGACUCCUACGGGAGGCAGCAGUAGGGAAUCUGCCGCAAUGGGCGAAAGCCUGACGGAGCAACGCCGCGUGAGUGAUGAAGGUCUUCGGAUCGGAAAACUCUGUUAUUAGGGAAGAACAGAUGUGUAAGUAACUGUGCACAUCUUGACGGUACCUAAUCAGAAAGCCACGGCUAACUACGUG